Long non-coding RNA from Lynx canadensis (Canada lynx), 429 nucleotides. RefSeq lists it as uncharacterized. NCBI's taxonomy places the organism in Eukaryota, Metazoa, Chordata, Mammalia, Carnivora, Felidae. The transcript has 2 exons. The record is from RefSeq and is a predicted model, not a curated record.
UCAUUAGUGGAGCAGUUCUGUUCACUGUCCCAGGGCCCGGAACCCAGCAUGGAUGGCCACCCCUGUGGGCUGUACACCUGGAAACUGCGGUCCCUCCAACUUCUCUGGGAGGGCUUUUGCUCUGAUUCACUCCCCUAGAGACCACACUCCUUCCUGUGAAUGAAUUUACUGUGUGCCAGGCACCGUGCAGUGCUCUGAGGAGGCCACGAUGAUGGACGCAGGAUGCAAAUCUCAUCAUUUUUUGCCCUCGUUAAAAUCUCUCACAGGCUUCCUACUUAUUUCAGGAUAAGGACUUCACUCCCUUGCCUGCCAUUCAGGGCUCCUCCUGUUCUGGCUCCCGACUCCAUCCCCAACCCCGCUCCCGGUCACUUAAGGCAACAAACACUUUGGAUUCUUUGCCUAACAAUAAAUAUGUCAGGGGAAAACGUG